RNAcentral lists this ribosomal RNA (882 nucleotides) under uncultured fungus. RNAcentral describes it as "eukaryotic LSU rRNA". The stretch from base 433 to 586 matches the Rfam family "5.8S ribosomal RNA". Lineage: Eukaryota; Fungi. The record is from RNAcentral.
UUCUUGGUCAUUUAGAGGAAGUAAAAGUCGUAACAAGGUUUCCGUAGGUGAACCUGCGGAAGGAUCGUUAAAGAAAUUUAAUAAUUUUGAAAAUGGAUUUUUUUGUUUUGGCAAGAGCAUGAGAGCUUUUACUGGGCAAGAAGACAAGAGAUGGAGAGUCCAGCCGGGCCUGCGCUUAAGUGCGCGGUCUUGCUAGGCUUGUAAGUUUCUUUCUUGCUAUUCCAAACGGUGAGAGAUUUCUGUGCUUUUGUUAUAGGACAAUUAAAACCGUUUCAAUACAACACACUGUGGAGUUUUCAUAUCUUUGCAACUUUUUCUUUGGGCAUUCGAGCAAUCGGGGCCCAGAGGUAACAAACACAAACAAUUUUAUCUAUUCAUUAAAUUUUUGUCAAAAACAAGAAUUUUCGUAACUGGAAAUUUUAAAAUAUUAAAAACUUUCAACAACGGAUCUCUUGGUUCUCGCAUCGAUGAAGAACGCAGCGAAAUGCGAUACGUAAUGUGAAUUGCAGAAUUCCGUGAAUCAUCGAAUCUUUGAACGCACAUUGCGCCCCUUGGUAUUCCAGGGGGCAUGCCUGUUUGAGCGUCAUUUCCUUCUCAAACAUUCUGUUUGGUAGUGAGUGAUACUCUUUGGAGUUAACUUGAAAUUGCUGGCCUUUUCAUUGGAUGUUUUUUUUCCAAAGAGAGGUUUCUCUGCGUGCUUGAGGUAUAAUGCAAGUACGGUCGUUUUAGGUUUUACCAACUGCGGCUAAUCUUUUUUUAUACUGAGCGUAUUGGAACGUUAUCGAUAAGAAGAGAGCGUCUAGGCGAACAAUGUUCUCAAAGUUUGACCUCAAAUCAGGUAGGAGUACCCGCUGAACUUAAGCAUAUCAAUAAGCGGAGGAA